GCUUGAAACUCCAGGGCUGAAAAUGAGUCCCACUCCGGCCCUGAUUGACACUGUACCAGUUUAUAGGGAACACGCUGGUGUUUUGUGACGUGCACACACACCCAUUGAUCCUAGCGUCAAGCAUACCCAGAAUUAUGAGACAAACAUAUUCUUAGUCAUCUUUCUGAUCACCAUGAUGCGAGCAUUGGUUAAUUUUGUUAUCAGAAGAAAAUAUGCAUCUUAAAUUUUAAAGAACAUAAUGGAAAACAAAAAUAAUGAGUCAGGAUGUGGUGGUCCAAAAUAACAAAGUCCAAUAACUCUAAAAAAAAAAAAAAAGCCACAAGGCACUGAUGUCUGUAUAGCUCAGUAAAUUAGCUGCGCAGAUUGGAAUCAGGUGGCAGCAAUCUGCAAACAAAAGAAAUUAGGAAACUAAAAAAAAAAAAAAAAAAAACACAGGACGUAGCACAAGUAUAAAUGCAUGCCAUUCUCUCCCUCACACACACACACACACACACACACACACACACAUUUUUAAAUACAACAACUUAAUUCUCACCUCUUCUGUGUUUUGCAUGACCCAAAUGACACAAACCAAACAAGAUGAGCAGCUCAAGUGGAAGUGACCUUGACUUUGUUGCCACUCAAGAGUUCAACAUCAGCAUGAAAAGAAUUGAAACAUUUUUGGUAUGCCAAGUAGACGAGUUACGGGAAUCGCAUAGAACCCUCAGAGAAGCAACGGAGACCUUGACAGAAAGAGAUCUUCCCGCUGUACAGAGUGAGCUGUCUGCUCUGAAAUCCACCAUCACAGACCAGGGCAGGCAAAUGGAGAAGCGACAGAGGCAACCGACAGCACCAACGAUGAAAGCGCCACCGACAACAGCGACAAGGAUAGUGACAACAUAGCCUCGCAGGCACCUGCUUUGUCUAUGCCAAAAGAAAGAGGAGUGAAGAAGACCUGGAUGACCUCCUGCAGCUAUUUUGGCCCACAAAUGCAAGAAUCAGGGAGCAGCUGAAUGAAAGGCAACAAGCCCAUGAAGGAAAGACUCCCGAUUACAAUAAUGCUAAAGAGAUGCGAGACGCCACCCAUUUACAAGAUGGAAAUAUGUCAGAGCUCAAAAGAAGAAGAUUAAGUGACAGACAGUCUGAGCAUGUUGUUGAUGUUACUGAGAGGAGCCAGGAAAAUAGCCCACAGCUACGUACAAUCGUGAGCCAAUGGACAGUGACUGAAAGAAUGAGAGAUUGGGAGUUUAUUAAAAUAUAUUCAUUCAUUUGCUGUUCGGCUUAGUCC
Molecule: non-coding RNA, 1267 nt
Organism: Danio rerio (zebrafish)
Lineage: Eukaryota; Metazoa; Chordata; Actinopteri; Cypriniformes; Danionidae
Source: RefSeq, a predicted model, not a curated record